UGACGCACGCGCCACCUAUAUAAAAGGCGAGCACCGGCUAAGCCGGGGCGUGGCUCCGGCGGCUCCUGCAUUGGGCCUUGAUGCUGCUCCUGUCUGCACGUGAUCCUCCAGAGCAAGACCAGAGGCAAUCCAGGGAAGACUGCUGGGAUGAAUACCUUCCAUCCUCUCCCUAUGUACCAGAAAUGGGAUCGUCUGACAGUGCCCAAUGGGCUGGAGGCCGUGAGCAUGGAGAGCAAGGGCUGCCUGAGCAGCGGACGGUGAAGAGACAGAUGGGACAUCGUUGGAACGCAGGCCCAAGGAGAGGCCCCGUGCAGCUCUCUUCAGGGACCAUCCCGGGGUGCUCGACCUGUCCCUGCAAGAAGAACACCCAUCACCACCAAUCUCUUCAUGCGUCUGCCACUGGCCACCUUUCCUACCCACCACCUGCCCAACCUGCUUCCUCCCCACACAUCUUGGCCUUGUGGCACUCCUAGCCCCACACUGUGGCCAUGCUGCAUC
Long non-coding RNA from Melopsittacus undulatus (budgerigar), 498 nucleotides. RefSeq lists it as uncharacterized. The transcript is spliced from 4 exons. The record is from RefSeq and is a predicted model, not a curated record. NCBI's taxonomy places the organism in Eukaryota, Metazoa, Chordata, Aves, Psittaciformes, Psittaculidae.